AACGAACGCUGGCGGCAGGCUUAACACAUGCAAGUCGAACGCCCCGCAAGGGGAGUGGCAGACGGGUGAGUAACGCGUGGGAAUCUACCCAGUUCUACGGAACAACACAGGGAAACUUGUGCUAAUACCGUAUACGCCCUACGGGGGAAAGAUUUAUCGGAAUUGGAUGAGCCCGCGUUGGAUUAGCUAGUUGGUGGGGU
This 200-nucleotide ribosomal RNA is filed under the name uncultured bacterium. Its description in RNAcentral is "partial 16S ribosomal RNA". It matches the Rfam family "Bacterial small subunit ribosomal RNA", at positions 29 to 258 of the family's 1533-position model. The record is from RNAcentral.